Molecule: ribosomal RNA, 253 nt
Filed under: uncultured bacterium
Lineage: Bacteria
Description: partial 16S ribosomal RNA
Rfam family: Bacterial small subunit ribosomal RNA
Source: RNAcentral
UACAGAGGGUGCGAGCGUUAAUCGGAAUUACUGGGCGUAAAGCGUGCGUAGACGGUUAUUUAAGUCGGAUGUGAAAGCCCCGGGCUCAACCUGGGAAUUGCAUUCGAGACUGAAUAGCUAGGGUACGGUAGAGGGAAGUGGAAUUUCCGGUGUAGCGGUGAAAUGCGUAGAUAUCGGAAGGAACAUCAGUGGCGAAAGCGACUUCCUGGACCGGUAUUGACGCUGAGGCGCGAAAGCUAGGGGAGCAAACGGG